AUGGUGCUGGUGCAGUUGUUCAUCACGGGGAUGAUCCUGCUGUCCAAGGUGUCCAUCGGUGGUGGCAUGUUCAUCUUCGCCCUCCUCGCCUACCGCAGUCUCUUCGGCGCCGCCUUCAUCCUCCCAUUGGCGCUCAUCUUCGAAAGGGGCAAGUGGAGGGAGAUGGGUUGGCACGCCACGGGAUGGAUCUUCCUCAACGCCUUCAUCGGGUAUGCAGUGCCAAUGAGCCUAUACUACUAUGGUCUCAGUGAUACAACGCCAACUUAUGCUGUCAUCUUUCUGAACAUAAUUCCGCUGGUCACAUUCAUUCUCUCGCUCGUCUUCAGAAUGGAAACAUUGCAAAUCUGGAGCAUAGCUGGAUCAAUGAAGAUUGUAGCCGUUGUGCUCUCGGUUGGAGGCACAAUGCUCAUCAGCCUUUACAAGGGCAAGACACUGCAUCUCUGGGAUCCCAUUCUGAAGCACCACCACGAGGGACAACAAACUACAGAGGUUGCAAGCAAUCAUCUAAGGGGGACAAUAUUCUUGGUAGGCAGCAGCAUCACACUUGCUUGCUGGUACCUGAUUCAGUCAAAGGUUAUGAAGGUGUAUCCAUACAAAUACUGGUCGUCUAUGGUGACAUGCUUUGUUGGAGGAUUUCAAACCGCACUAGUUGGAAUAAUAUUGAGUAGAGACAAGAACAAGUGGAAGCUAGGAUGGGAUCUGAACCUUAUGACCAUCUUCUACUCGGGGGCACUUGCAACGGCGGGGAAAUAUAGCCUGAACUCAUGGGUCAUGGCCAAGCGAGGCCCGGCAUAUCCUCCAAUGUUCAGCCCAUUGUCUGUGGUAUUCACAGUUUUGUUGGACUCCAUCUUCAUAGGCGACGAGAUUACAGUAGGAAGCCUGUUCGGCACAAUAGUGGUAAUUGUUGGGCUCUACAUUUUCCUAUCAGCAAAAUCAAAAGAAGUACGGGACAAGUAG
This 957-nucleotide ribosomal RNA is filed under the name Triticum aestivum (bread wheat). RNAcentral's name for it is "partial small subunit ribosomal RNA". The record is from RNAcentral. Lineage: Eukaryota; Viridiplantae; Streptophyta; Magnoliopsida; Poales; Poaceae.